Dama dama (fallow deer) is the source of this 245-nucleotide long non-coding RNA. RefSeq lists it as uncharacterized. NCBI's taxonomy places the organism in Eukaryota, Metazoa, Chordata, Mammalia, Artiodactyla, Cervidae. The transcript has 3 exons. The record is from RefSeq and is a predicted model, not a curated record.
CCUCUUCCUGGGCGCCCGCGGCUCUCGAGAGAACUGUGCCAAGUUCCUCCUUGGAGAGACAACCAGAUGGACACCCAGAACUUUCCCUACCUUCGUGUCGAGGUUGUCUCAAGUUCAUGUGGGAAAUAGUAUUGUUAAUUUUUAGGAUGAAAAUCUGGUUAAGAUAAAUGUAGACAUCGACAAGCACAAUCUACAAAAAGGAGAGAAAAGGAAAAGAAAUAACCUACUGGUGGUCCCCAAAGGGG